GAUGAAGAACGUAGCGAAAUGCGAUACGUAAUGUGAAUUGCAGAAUUCAGUGAAUCAUCGAAUCUUUGAACGCAUAUUGCGCUCUCUGGUAUUCCGGAGAGCAUGCUUGUUUGAGUAUCAGUAAACACCUCAACUUCCAUAUCUUUUUUGAAAUGGGAGUUGGACUUGAGUGAUCCCAACGCUUUUCCUCACCGAAAAGUGGCGGGUUUCUUGAAAUGCAGGUGCAGCUGGACUUUUCUCUGAGCUAUAAGCAUAUCUAUUUAGUCUGCCUAAAAAACAGAUUAUUACCUUUGCUGCAGCUAACAUAAAGGAGAUUAGUUCUUGUGCUGACUGAUGCAGGAUUCACAAAGACAGGCUUCGGCCGACUUUGUAAACUCGAUCUCAAAUCAAGUAAGACUACCCGCUGAACUUAAGCAUAUCAAUAAGCGGAGGA
Molecule: unclassified non-coding RNA, 433 nt
Filed under: soil metagenome
Description: partial contains 5.8S ribosomal RNA, internal transcribed spacer 2, and large subunit ribosomal RNA
Rfam family: 5.8S ribosomal RNA (bases 1-120)
Source: RNAcentral